Molecule: long non-coding RNA, 834 nt
Filed under: Crocodylus porosus (Australian saltwater crocodile)
Lineage: Eukaryota; Metazoa; Chordata; Crocodylia; Crocodylidae
Description: lncRNA (ENSCPRG00005005014.1)
Source: RNAcentral
UGACUUCCUGAGGUCCCUUCCAACCCUAAUUUUCUACGAUUCUAUGUUUUUAACCCAGUGUAACCCUUGGAGCCCAGCAUGAAGUUCAAAACCAUACCUGCACCAAGAGACUGAGCAAACCAUUAUGGAAUCAGUAACAGUAAAUCAAGCGGCUCUCUUCACCAGAAAGCUGCUUUUCAGCCCAGGGCAGAUACUUUAAUGUGAAUGCUCAAACAACACGUGAAUCUUUAGGUUAAAAUCUUCUCAACCAAAUGAAUUCAAACAAACAGAAGAUUCACCAUCCUUCACGCUACAAAGUGGACAAGCAUGCACACAAUCCCAUCUAACCCUUGCAUGGGCCUGUAAUGGACAAAAGUUAAAAAAACACAACCACCGCCACUAGGAAUCAUUUUGCAUUUGUAUGUUUAAACCUGAUCCUCAAUGCUUCAUCGUUUUGCUAUGUCUUUAAUUAGAUUAUGCACUCUUUGGAAGGUGUGUAGGAAUGCAGAGCGCUCUCCAGUUUUCAGCUCGGAUGAUGAGAUUAUGAAACAUCACCUGAAACAUUAUGAAAUUCAAGGAAGCACCUCACGAUCUGUCUCCCUUGCUGUCUUCACCCUGGUCUCUCUGUCUGCUAGUCUUGCCAGGUCCCGUGUUCAUGACAUGACUGUCCUGGACCUUCUCACCACCGAGGCACCCCAAGCGCACAGACAAGCUCUGUGCCAGUCAGCAGAGCAGAGACAUGAAGAAAAGUCACUCCAGGAAUGCCAAGAAAUAAUACAAAAGAGGCCUCAAGAGGGUAGAGAGAAAUGGGCUGAAAACAAUGUAGUGAGAUUUGGCUCAGAUGGAAGUGAAUAA